UCCUGUGGUUAUGUUUUCUUCUUCCUGUGAAAGAUUCUUUUGCUUUGUAUUUCUUCAAGAAUUUUCCUCUGGAAAAACAUCACAAUGUGCUCCACUAAUUUCCAAAAGAUUUCUCUUGCUUUUACCUUCCUGUCGUCACCCUCAGUUUUAUCAUCAGCAUCUAUGUGCCACAAUCCCGAGAAGUCAUUUCACCCAACCUGUUCAUUCUACAGAUAAGGAAAGCAAGGCUUGAAGAGAUAUAGUAAUUCCCCAGCCUUUUUUAUUUCAGCUCUUAUUGCCUACAUCAUUUCACUAGCAAUUAAGACCGACCAAGACAAUCCAUCUCGGAACUAACUGUUUGCUCUGUGAUUGUCACAGGGAACUGUCGUGUUGCUAUCUUAAGAAUGCUGCUAAUCCUGUAACCACCAGCAAAUUUAAGUUCUCGCUCUCGCAAGACCUUUUCACUUGGUGUUCCAUGUCCCCUCUCUCACUUCCCCAUCUGUGGCCAUCCAAGUUUGCACCACUCUUUAUCUUUGCCAUUUAAAAUGUGCCUUUGUUUCAUUUCUUCCUAAAUGUGCUUAAAAACUAAUAUGCUUGUGCAAUCACAAUUUUGAUUAGUUCUUUAACCAAUGGGACAUUUUUGCCCUAAGAAGUUCUUGAGAGCAGUUAUUGGGAGGUCAGUGGUAUUAUGUAUUAUACACUCCAUUACCUUGUGUUUAUAAAGCACUUUACAUUUUACAGAGCACUUUGAUUCAUCCUCUUAUCUAUUCACUCAAGGACUCACGUCAUUUAACUAUUUAUUGAGCACCUGCUAGAACCAAAUUACUGUGCUGUAUCUUGUAUUCAGUGACAAUUACAAACAGAGUUCAAAUAUGUAAAUUGCUCAUUACAACACAAUGAAAUCAUCAAACACAAAUUUGCAAGUAGAAAGGAUCUGUAUUACUCUAAAUUUCCUACUUUAUUUAGAAAACUCCAAAGUAGUUUCCUGAAGAAUGUUUGGGAUAUAUAAUACACCACAGCGCAUGUGUGCUAUUCGCUGUAUUUCAAAUGAUCUGCUGAUUUGAAGUUUUUGAAAAAGUUACUGGAAGGUAUCCCUGAUACCGAAGACUUUCCAGUUCAGCUGCAUUCUUUCUAAGCAGGUGCAGUAGUUGAAGUUUGACAUUCCUGCACCAGCAUUUCUUCUGUGGCUUUUGAAUUAUGAGCCUCAUUGCUUUGAGGCCCCUCAGAAGCAUGGUGUAUCAAAGAAGCAUUUGCACUUUAGGUGUGUGUGGUUGUUACAUCAUUUAUCAGAACUUCUCAGGUUUUCUCAAACUCAGCACCAUUGACAUUUUAGACCUGAUAAUUCUUUGUUUGGAGUGGAGGAAGUGGCUAUCUUGUAGAGUAUUUGGUAGCUUUUAUGGCUUUCAUUGGCUGGAUCAUAGCACAUUCAACCUCUCCUGUUAUGACAGCCGAAGAUGUUUUCAGACACUGCCAGUGUCCCCUCGAAUCGAAAGGAUAGGAGAGGUUGACGAAACCCACCCCUUGUUAAAACCACUAUACCAAAAAGAGCCAAAAGACUUUUAACAUUCUGUUGUCAUUUAAUCUUCGUUACAGGUAGGUUUUUUUAUAAUACAACUUGGACUCCUAAACUCUUGGGACUAUUAGAAGAGACUGCAAAAGCCACACACAACCACAGCCCCAAAUCAUCCUUAUAUAUUUGUCAAUUUCUCCAGCCUCCAAAUUUACUGAGGGGAGAGUGGAAGAUUGAUUAUCUCUAGAAAUUUAGGAUUUGGCUUCUGCGUAGCUAGGGAUGUGGCCCUUUGGUAAUUAGGCUUUGCUACUGCAAUCUCCAUGGCAGUGGCUUCCACAUUCAGUGCAGGGACUGGAUACUGAAGUCACACAGCUUUGGCAUCUCACAGAUUUGCUUUGGGGAGUUACUUUUGUCAUCACACACAUUACACAAAUUUUGUUCCUUAGUCUUUGCCUCAGUGUGCACAGAAGUUAAAGCUGGCUACGUCUAAUUUUAAGUCUACCUGGAUGCUGUAUUUCUAUUUUUAAUUCCAGAAAGUUUUAUUUCCAUCAUCAGAAUAUUCUCCUUUAUUAUCCAGUCAGCUAUGGGCCUAAAGCAGUAGUGGUAAUAUUGAUUUAUUUCACUGUUUUUCUAGGUAGGGGAGAACCUUGACUAUCCCCAGUAAUUGAAAAUGGUAAUGCAGAGUUGGAAUACCUAAAUCUCCCAAAACAAAGCUCAUACUCAUUUGGUGUGCCUUAGGUCAGUCUUCCAGUAGGGGUGGCGAUUUCCUAUGGACAACUCUGAACCCAGUCAGUUUGUACUUGUGUCUGUUUUUGCACUGAUCGAAAAACUUGGCAAAGUUCAUCAAAGACAGCUCUUUAAAAAUGCCCCCAAUUAACAGCAAACUCCCAACUGGAAUAUCAGGCCUCCAUUUAUUCCUUUGCUAAGACCAACUCGGACUUUAAAUACAUUCAUAAUUAUUUACUAUAAAUUUACUAAUAUGGACACGAAAUUGAAAACAUUAAUUACAAAGUCUAUGACUAUGAAAUAUUAAAAAGUACAUACAGGGAAAGUUCUUGUAAGGCAGUCAUGGAAGUCAGAAAAUUUCAACUUCAAGACCCUCGGAUGUGUGUAUAAUUUUCUGCUCUACCACUAUUACAUCAAUCUACUUAGUAUUGUUUCUUAAGGUUUUAAGUAAGCUGAUCCUCUAGAUUCAACUUUAGAAUGGAUCUGCCUAAUUAUAGCUUGGCAUAACUUUUGUACCAUCCAGUGUUCAUGACUCUUAAAAUAGUUGCCCAUCACUCUUAAAAUGGAUGCCCAUUGCUCUUAAAAUGGUUGUUGCAAAGAGGCAAAAUGGUAACUACUGAAGUAAAAGCACAUAAUUUCUUGAAUUGAUUUUCCUUUGUAAGCUGAUAGAACAUAUUAUCAUUGGCUUCUUGAUAACACAUUUUUAUGAAUGACCAAAAACUUAUUAAUUUAUAUUAAUUUCUAGUUCAUUCUCCACAAUGAAAAAUUUUAUGUUUCUAGCCAGGAUAAAAGGCUGGAAAAUAUUAAAUGCAAACCACAAGCUGAUACAGAUCUUUAUCUAAUUUAUAAUUUUACUAACGUUUAAGAAUUACUCAUUUUUUCUCCUGAUAGAAUAAAGUUUAAAAAGUAACUUGCCAGAUACUGAUAUUAUAUUCAUUUUUAUUCUAGUUGAAAAGUAUCAAUGACUUCCAUCUGUCCCUCUGAGAUUUGAGUUUUUAGCAGCAGUCUCCUCUUUUCCUUGGCAUUGAAAAUACAUAUAUUCUGGGCCAAGGAUUUAGCUCAGAGGCAACAUGGCUGCCUCAAAAGCAGAAGGUCCUGAGUUCGAUCCCUAUAUAUAUAUAUAUAUAUAUAUAUAUAUAUAUAUAUGACUUUAUUGAAGUAUCAUAACUGAUCAUGCAGCUGUAAACCUUCUUACCUAUCAAAUAAAUGCACAGCAUGAACUAAUUUUAGAAAUUUGCUAUAUUGACAGUGGUGUAAACAGCAGUGGAUGAACAAAGAUGAUUUGUUGAAAAGAUAAAGUGCUAACUACUAUCAGGCAGAGUUUUCAACCUUUUCAGAAUAUUCAGUAAGGAUCAGCUCAAUUUUAGGACAUUUGAACAUGCAGACACUAGAGCACAAAUUCUUCAAGCGAUGCUAAAAGACACAUAGCACAGGAUGUGUCCACUUAGUCUGAAACACAGGCACCAUGCCUCUUCUAUGGCAGCAGACCUGAUGCCACUGAGGUCCCUAGAGUAAGGACUUCAUUAUUAUUUCCAAAAAGGACUUAUUAUUUCCAAAAAGAAACUUUUCAUUUCUUGCCCUCUAAUUUAAAAAAGACAUUAUCAUAUUUUUUGGUUGAGCCAACCAGCCACACAAAGGCAACAAAAUGAAAUGAGAUUAAUUUUCCCAAGGGAGAGAUGAGAAAGGGCACUUUCCUCUUUGGAGCCCAGAGCUGUAUCUCUGUGAAGUUUGAUGAUCUCAGGAUCGAGCCAUGGUGCUGUUGUCUAGACAUUGUGGUGAUGUCUACACACCAUUUCAAAGUGCUUUGAACAAAAACAUGCUCAGAUUGUCAUAUUUAUAGCAGGGGAGAAAAUCAAGUGUCUUCCAUGCUCCUCUGAAAAUAACAUUAAGAGAAAUCAGAGCUUCUCCUUGCAAGGAAAUGUUAAAAUCAUUUUAGAGAAAUCAAUUAAAUGUCUUUUGACGCGGACAUCUUGUGUGUACUUGUAAUUGGGUCUUUCUCGGCCCUGGACUAGCAGUGGCAGAGUCUUUUCAUUGGUUGGUCAAAACAAAUAUCUCAUUUGCCUGAUCUGUGGCAUUUGGACAGCGCCUGGAAGUACAUUAUUUCCAAGGGAGAAAAGAGAGUCUUUUUCGCCUGCCAGCUGGGAUCAUGGGAACCUCAAAUGCCAGGAAUUUACUACUAUUUCUGGUAAUUCUGCUCGUAGUCAUUUGAAAUGUUGAAAGUUGAAAAGGGAAGAUGUUGAGCACUCAGGAGGGGCUGGAGAAGGGGGUGCUGUCCAUGUUUUCUGCCAGUUGCACCAGGGCAUUUGGAAGUGCGUAUAAUUGUACUCUUUGUCAGAAUGACAAAGCUCACUGUGGUGCUGCUCAAAGAGAACACUGAGGAAAAUCUGACCCUAAAAACCCGGUCAACCCAAAACAAAAAGAAAGAUUGUGUGGUGGAGCACAGCACAUUGCCAGUCCAUGUCGCACUAGUUUUGAAAGCUCUGGCCAUCCAACCAAGGACGUGUCUAUCUUUCAGGUGAAGGUUCAUUUUCCAAAUGUUUUUCCAAAUCUUCCUUAAUGCAGGGCUUGGAAAACUGAGCAUUACGAAUUUCUUCCAGUCCUCUGGGCCUCAUUCCUAGUCUCUCUGCUGGGUCAGUGAGACAUUCCAAGGCUGCCUUCUGUCAUCUCAAGUAACACACACAUACUUCACGGUGACCUUACAGCGGAUGAACCUGAGCCUGCAACUGUAAAAAUGAUUGUAUCUGAAUGCACAUUGAUGGUGUGGGAGAGCAAAACCAGUGUGCCCUCCAUUGGAAUCUUUUGUUCAAAUUCAGUAAUUCAGAUGUUACAUACUUCUGUAGGCUUCCUGAUGAUUUUCACUGAAAGUUUGCCGAUCUAAGUUUGAAUGUAUUUCCUUGCAGUCCAUUAAUUGGUCAUUUAUCUUUUGACUGGAAAUCAUGAUGAUUGUAAUCAUUCAUUAAUGUUUUCUUCACACAGCUUCAUAAACUAAGGUUUUCUGCAGUGAUUCAGGUUCUGCAUUCAUUGUAUGGGAAAUCUUUUUUUUCCCCUAAUAAUUAUUUGAUGAGAAAUUCAGUGUAUUGACUGUCACCCAGACACAAUACAUGUCUUAAAGUCUGGAUGCAGGUGGAGACCAAGUGUUACCUGUGUUCUUGCUGUUGAUUGCUAUUUUCAAAAUUAAAUCAUGUUUUUUCACUGUCAGUUGGAGUCAACAUAUCUGAGAUAUUUGAAGGGGGAGAAGGGAGCUAUUUGUGUAAUAGUGCUGUCAUAUUUGGCUACAUAUUAAACAUAAUAAAUGAGCAUUUUGUUUUAAUUUCUUAAAUACUUUUACCCUUGUCUUUCAACACGUUUUUGUUUCCUUUCCCUCGUUAGUCUCUAAACACAUUUUUACCACUGUGGAAGAAACCUAGUGUGCAAAGCCCAGAGCCACCAGACUGUUGACACACUGGAAAAUGUUUUUGUUUCUAAACCUGCUGUGGCAUAGGGACCAAAGCCAACUAGAGUGAACUGUAGAAAACAAAGGAUGUAAGCUGUCCUAGCAUGCAACUGGGUGGAGACGAUUCCCUGCCUUCACCCUCAGUGCCUGGGUGUUGAAUUCUGCAUCAGACAGGUGGGAUUUUAGCUGCCACAUUAAGUCCUAGAGCUUAAAGAAGUCUAGUGGCUUCAGUUCUGGUCUUGCCUCUGUUGUUAGUUCUGCUUUAUAAACUUUUAUUUUCCAAAUGAGUCCAUCAAGCUUCUCUAUUAUUUCACCCCCUUUUUCUCAACCUGGAAAUGAUUGUACCUAUUUCUCAGGGGCUGUUGGAUGUGUGCCUCAGGUAACUUAGGUGGAAUGUGUGAAGUGAGAUGUUGCCAUUCCAGGUAUCCCUUCUCUGUUUUCUCUUCCACCAUUGCAGGACUAUGCUCUUAACAGCACCAAGUACACACAGACCUGAACCCAGGUCCAGGAAGCACACGUGGUGCCCAAAGCUGUCUGGGUCCCAGGCAGUGGCAUUUCCUGAGCAACUGCUCUGUGCAAUUCGAUGAUGAUUUUUUUAAAAAUCUUAACCUCUGUAUGGAUCUUUUGGACUGUAUUCCUUAAACUUUGAUAUCACGGAGUAAAUUCAGAACUUCAAUGUUAAGUGGUGUGAAUUGUCUUUAUGAUGCCAAAAUAGGAAAGGUUAUUAAUGUAAAUCAUGCAUCUUUCCCCAAUAACAGAAAAACAUUAAGCUAAUGCUUUACAGGAUCAUUUAGCGUAUUCCAUUUCUUUAAAU
Molecule: long non-coding RNA, 6462 nt
Filed under: Heterocephalus glaber (naked mole-rat)
Lineage: Eukaryota; Metazoa; Chordata; Mammalia; Rodentia; Bathyergidae
Description: lncRNA (ENSHGLG00000046855.1)
Source: RNAcentral